CUUCGUCUUCUCCAACCUAACUGCGCCUCUCUUUUAUUUUAUUUUUCGAUCCGCAAAUGCGCCUCUCUUUUCUUCUUCCUCUUCUUCUAUUCUCCUCUAUAAUGAGCAAAGAUUUUGGAAGAUUUCUCUCUUAUUUCGUUGAUUUUUUUUUCAAUCGUAUUAUUCAGUCGUAUAAAAGUUGAAGAGUGAGUUUUCUUUCUCUUCAGAGUUUAUAGGACGAAUAAUACCAACCCUAACCAUGAAUCACUCAAAAUACACGCACAAUUUUACCUAUUUCAUUACAUUAUAAACCCUUAGUUGUUCAUACUUAGCCGUAUCACUAACCUAAUUUUCGUUUUACCUUAUCAAACCCUACUUCCAGUUUAUUUGAUCUCUAUAGAUGUAGAAGAUGUUUACUAGUAAUUGAUGGUUUCCUGACUCUUACGAGGUAAAACCCCCUCUUUUUUCAUUCAAUAACUCUUAUAAGUACUAGAUCUGCAAUUAGCUUCUUGCUUAGGUUUCAAUUUUUUUAUUUUGUUUCGUUCAUUCACUGACAAUUGUGGUUCUAAUUAUGUGCUUAUUCGAAUUCUUCUGGUAAGGGAUGAGGACACGAGUGGUAUUCUUAUUCAGUUCUGGUAAUUAAAGGUUAUGUUUUAAUUUGGGUUUUGGGUUCUUCAGAAUUCUGAUUGAAUAUAAUCUUUUUACUGAUCUCAAUCCAACAAUAUAAGUUAUAUUGCAAGAUUCGGUAAUUUUUAUCUCAAAUGUACUGAUCUCUUCUGUUUUAUAUUAGGAAAUUGUUGAGGAUUUGGUGUUGGUGUGUAGGUGUUGAGGGAGGACGAUCAUGUUAUAGAAGUGUUUUUUUUGGUGUCUAUGGAGGAUUAGGAGGUGUUGGUGUUGCAGGCGGUGGUGGACUAGCAGAGGUUGCUGGUUGAGGUAGACGCAUAGGUGGCUGAAGGGAUGGUGGCGGGCAUGAAAAGACAUUGCAGAUGCUUGUCCACUAAAGCAUGUUUUAAGAGAGGAUAUGCUGAAGAUAUGAGAUGGUGUUUACAAACCCAACGCGCACAUGGACACUAAGAAUGAGGAGGAAGUCGGAGAUGAUGAGCUUUAGUUGCCUUCUGCUGAUAUGAUCAGGAUCCUUCCUUCAGCACAGAAGUGUUUGGGCACCGACGCUGUUACCAUGGUUUACAUACGUGGAAUGGGUGCGGUGUUUCUAAAACUCAAAUCCUUGGGGAUGUGUUUUUGAAGGCCAAUUUGCAGGAAGUGAAGGACAAUAUGCCGAAAUAGAAGCAAAAAAAUGAAGCUUUGGAAGCACAGAUGCUGAAAGACAGAAAUCCAACACUGGAGUUCAUGAUCAGAUCCCUAAUAGCUCUUAUCAGCAGGAUAUAUUGGAGAUCCAGCAACACCUUUGACGUUUGAUCUCUGCUUUUUGAGGAACUUUAUGAAAAGACCGGUAGCAUCUUCAUAUGUUGAUAGUGCAGAGCUGUUGAUUGAUGACAAUUAUGACUGCAUGAUUGAUGAAAUCAUUGAUCCAAGGGUGGCGUUAUGUGAUAGAGCUGAUGCAGUACUUGGGGAUGUGUCAAGAGGUGACACCAUUAAGUGGCCACAAGCUUAUGUAAUUACUGUAGGAGAGCGACCAAAUUAGAAUGACAAGGUGAAAGUAGAUUGAAUUCAAUUUUAAUGUUAAACUUAAACAUGUAGUGUCUAUCUUUUGUUUUGUAUUUGAAGAUUUUAUUUUCUUGGCUAUUAUUUUUGGAUAAUUAAUUAAUAAAAGUUGAUUUCAGAUGCAGUUGAAA
Papaver somniferum (opium poppy) is the source of this 1772-nucleotide long non-coding RNA. RefSeq lists it as uncharacterized. NCBI's taxonomy places the organism in Eukaryota, Viridiplantae, Streptophyta, Magnoliopsida, Ranunculales, Papaveraceae. The record is from RefSeq and is a predicted model, not a curated record. The transcript is spliced from 6 exons.